Molecule: non-coding RNA, 350 nt
Organism: Drosophila melanogaster (fruit fly)
Lineage: Eukaryota; Metazoa; Arthropoda; Insecta; Diptera; Drosophilidae
Source: Ensembl
CAAGCAAACACUCAAAAAAGGACAAAAAUUUUACGCAAAUUGACAACAGAAGCGACGACACCGAAAACAACCGGGGAAAUGAGGCUGCGGAGCCCAAAUGCCAUGUCAAUAAAAAUAAAAACUGUUCCAGAGCGUCCCAUCUUGUCAGUUGGUCGUAAUUGAAACUCAUUAGCGUGCAUUUUAGUGGCAAGCCUUUCCCCAUUCCGGCCAACCCUUUUUUCGGCGCUUUUCCCUGCUCUAUGGCGCUUAUGCCCCAGCCCCGGUGGGUGGCUUGCAACACUCUGAGUUGGAUCCGGUUUCGGUGGUGGUUAUAUGUGGUGCGUGCGGUUUAUGUGGUAAGUGUGUCAUCA